UUCUUUAAAUCAAAUUGCUUAAUAAGUUAAUCUAGUUUGUUAACUCUAAACUUAACAAAAUCUUAAUUUCAGGGCAUAAUAAUAGGAAGUGCGGGCUAAUGCUCAGCCGACACCCACAGGCUACAACAACCAGAUCUUGCAGCAAACAGAAGCUUCUCUUGCUGUCUUUUUCUCUCUUGAAAAUUCUCGGUGGAACAAAAAUCGGAGAUGAAUUUGGGAAAAGAAAAUAAUUUAAGAGAUACCUUCAAAACAAUACCAUGAGAGCAGUAGCUAUAAGCAUCUUCUUCAUACUAUCACUGCUUUCAUCUUUCACAUCUCAAUUUCAAGAUUUGGUUGCCAAGGAAAAAACCAGGAGGAUUCUGCAUCAACCACUCUUUCCAAUUAGUUCAAUACCACCGCCAGAUUCUGAAAUAUCGCCGCCGCCACCGGCCGAGCCGAUCAACUCUCAGCCUUUUUUUCCAGAAGUCCCUACUGGGACUACACCAGAUCAGACACAUCAACCUCCUCCAACUGCAGCUAAUGGAACUCCAGUGUCAAACUCGGUUGCCACACAACCAGCAAAGCCAGUCAAGAAAGUGGCAAUUGCAAUAUCAGUUGGAAUUGUUACCUUGGGAAUGUUAUCUGCCUUGGCAUUCUACCUUUACAAGCACCGUGUCAAGCACCCAGAUGAAACUCAAAAGCUUGUAAGGGGCAAUUCUGAUCAGAGGAUCAACGAGGAAUCAAGAACGCCGCCUUCUACUUUCCUAUACAUUGGGACUGUUGAGCCACCUGUUAAGACAUCAGCUGAGACUGAGUCCAAUGGUGCUACUGACUCACCUUAUCGAAAAUUGAGCUCUGUAAAAAGAUUGGAUACCAGGUAUAGGCCAAGUCCUGACCUUCAACCCCUUCCACCACUGAACAAACCCCAACCCCCUCCUAACAUUAAUUCACCUACUGCAAUGUCAUCAUCCGAUGAGGAGAGUCAUGACACUGCAUUUCACACUCCACAAGGCUCCUCUAUCAGCAAUGAAGAAGGUUAUUACACUCCCAGUUUUCGUGAGAGUUACCUAAGCAACAAGAAUUAUGUCCCUUAUUCAAAGAGAACUUCUCCGAGAGCACACCUUUCUGAUUCAUCCCCUGAUGUAAAACAUACUCUAAUACCAUCCAUUAAGCAAGCUCCAGCUCCCCCACUUCCACUGCAGCAACCACAAGGGGGUCAGUUGGAACAACUUCCACCUGAGCCUCCGUUGCAAUAUACUAAGCCAGAACUUCCAUAUGUACCAAAAAGGGCAAAGUUUUCAUCACCACCUCCUCCACCAGAUAUGACAAGGCUUCAACUGAUAAGCAACCAAGCCCAAAAUAUAUCAAAAACACCACCACCACCACCACCACCACCUCCUCCUCCUCCUCCUCCUCCUCCACCCCCACUUCCAUUAUCAACACCCUACAAACCGGAAGGAUCACAAAGGAAUCUUCCUUCAGCAGCUUACCAGCAAAUGGUCAAGACAGAAUCAAGGAGUCCCACUCCAAAAUCAACACCAGGGAGUGAGAAGACGAGUACUUCUGAAGAACAAAACGGAGGUGCCAGUUCUUUAGAAAGACAUGAUUCUAGCGAUACAGAUCCAUCCAAGCCUAAGUUGAAGCCUUUGCACUGGGACAAAGUGCGAGCAACAUCUGAUCGAGCCACAGUGUGGGACCAAUUAAAAUCGAGUUCCUUCCAGUUGAACGAGGACAUGAUGGAGUCACUUUUUGGAUGUAAUUCAGCAAAUUCUGUACCAAAGGAAGCAACAAGGAAAGCAGUCCUUCCUCCAGCUGAGCAGGAUAAUAAGGUACUUGACCCCAAGAAGUCGCAGAACAUUGCCAUAAUGUUACGAGCACUGAAUGUAACUAAGGACGAGGUUUCUGAAGCCCUUCUAAAUGGAAAUCCUGAAGGACUAGGGCCUGAGCUUCUGGAAACUUUGGUCAAGAUGGCUCCAACAAAAGAAGAAGAGAUAAAACUAAGAGAGUACAGUGAAGAUGCCUCAAAGUUAGGGUCUGCAGAAAGAUUUCUCAAGACAGUGCUGGAUAUACCAUUUGCCUUCAAAAGGGUAGAAGCCAUGCUUUACAGAGCAAAUUUUGAUGGUGAAGUAAAAGAUUUGAGAAAAUCCUUCCAAACCCUUGAGGUAGCCAGUGAAGAAUUGAAGAAUAGCAGACUAUUCCUCAAACUCCUUGAAGCUGUUCUAAGGACAGGAAACCGCAUGAAUGUUGGAACUAAUCGUGGUGAUGCCAGAGCUUUCAAACUUGACACUCUUUUGAAAUUAGUAGAUAUAAAAGGAACAGAUGGGAAGACGACCUUGCUUCACUUUGUUGUCCAGGAGAUUAUCAGGUCAGAAGAGCUGGAUUCUGAACCCCCAGGCGAAGAUCUUUCUAAUAAAGCAAACAUCAAAUUCAAAGAGGAGGAUUUCAAGAAGCAAGGUUUGCAGGUUGUCUCUGGAUUAAGCAGAGAACUUGGUAAUGUCAAAAAAGCAGCAGCCAUGGACUCAGAUGUCCUGGGAAGCUAUGUCUUGAAGCUUGAAGUGGGACUUGAUAAAGCAAGAUCGGUUUGGCAAUAUGAAAAGCAAGGUAUGCAAGGUAACUUUUUUGAAUCGAUGAAAGUAUUCCUUAAGGAGGCAGAAGAUGGAAUAGUGAGGAUAAGGGCAGAAGAGAGAAAGGCUUUAUCCAUGGUCAAACAGGUAACAGAAUAUUUUCAUGGUGAUGCUGCAAAAGAGGAAGCUCAUCCCCUCAGAAUAUUUGUGAUUGUGCGAGACUUCCUCUCCAUAUUGGAUAAUGUGUGCAAAGAUGUUAGGCGGAUGCAGGAUCAAACAGUGGUAGGUGGUGCAAGAUCAUUCAGAAUAGCUGCUACUGCAUCACUACCAGUCUUAAGCAGAUAUAACGUGAAACAAGAAAGGAGUUGGGAUGAUAAUAGCUCAUCACCAUGAGAUUAAUGUGUGAAUAAUUGAAUCAAAUUAAUGGACAAGCACAAAUGGAGCAUGAAGAUGGGAAAGCAACACCAGAUAGAAGCAGUCUCACAUCUUCAAGGAGACAAUAACAUUUUGGUGCUAGCUGGAAAAAUAGCACACAGCUCCAUGAACAAGAUGCAAUAAGUGAGGAUCAGUACAAAGAGUAGGCAGUCUACACAUCAAACCUUCACAAAGAUACAAAUAUUAGACAGCAACAUUCUAGGAUUCCAUCAAAUGGGACUAGUUAUUCAUAAUCAACCUUCAAUGCAAAUGAAUCGAUAUGAGACCUGAUUAAUAAUUGUAUAUGAUGUGAUAUGAUGGGAUCGGAACUAUAGGCAUGUUCCGUCUGUUGUUGAGUGAUGGAAUGUGAAUAAUGGGGUUAAGGAGAAGGAUCCCAAUUUGACAAUGAAUGCAUAAUGUUCCGGUGGAAGGGCAAGCUAGAAAAUGAGGGAAGUUACAUCGUACACAGAUAGGCAUACCCAGAGGCACGCAGGUUCCUCAAUGGCUACAGUUCCCCUUCGCACAGCUCCCAAUUAUGCGUUUUGGUUUUGAGUAAUGGACACUACACUGAUUUUGUGAAGCCGAUUUCCCUCUAUAAGAGGCACCAUUUCUUUAUCCUGGCGAAACAUUCGAAGCUUGACAGGUAAUAUAACUGGCUCACUUUUUUCCCCUUCACUCUAUACUUUUUAUUUUUUUCUAAAAAAAAUAGUAAUUAAAUUUUAGAAUUGUAUUAUAUAACUACUGAAAUAUCAUGAAAUAUUUAAUAUCACAAA
Solanum dulcamara is the source of this 3730-nucleotide RNA transcript. It is a transcript of the gene named formin-like protein 6, with no coding region annotated. The record is from RefSeq and is a predicted model, not a curated record. The transcript is spliced from 5 exons. NCBI's taxonomy places the organism in Eukaryota, Viridiplantae, Streptophyta, Magnoliopsida, Solanales, Solanaceae.